CAAUAGCGUAUAUUAAAGUUGUUGCAGUUAAAAAGCUCGUAGUUGGAUUUGUGGCGUACGGUGUGUUCCGGGCACUUGUUGUCUGAGUAACCUGCUGUUGCCAUCCUUGGGUGGAACCUGUGUGGCAUUAGGUUGUCGUGCAGGGGAUGCCCAUCAUUUACUGUGAAAAAAUUAGAGUGUUCAAAGCAGGCUUAUGCCGUUGAAUAUAUUAGCAUGGAAUAAUGAGAUAGGACUUUUUUGCUAUUUUGUUGGUUUGCGCAAAGAGGUAAUGAUUAAUAGGGACAGUUGGGGGUAUUCGUAUUCCAUUGUCAGAGGUGAAAUUCUUGGAUUUUUGGAAGACGAACUGCUGCGAAAGCAUUUACCAAGGAUGUUUUCAUUAA
RNAcentral lists this ribosomal RNA (380 nucleotides) under uncultured eukaryote. RNAcentral describes it as "partial 18S ribosomal RNA". It matches the Rfam family "Eukaryotic small subunit ribosomal RNA", at positions 592 to 976 of the family's 1831-position model. The record is from RNAcentral.